GGAGGGUGCGAGCGUUAAUCGGAAUCACUGGGCGUAAAGCGCACGUAGGCGCAGCAUCAAGUCAGGCGUGAAAGCCCUCGGCUCAACCGGGGAAUUGCGUUUGAAACUGGUGMGCUGGAGUCUCGGAGAGGUUGGCGGAAUUCCAGGUGUAGGAGUGAAAUCCGUAGAUAUCUGGAGGAACACCGGUGGCGAAGGCGGCCAACUGGACGAGAACUGACGCUGAGGUGCGAAAGCGUGGGUAGCAAACAGGAUUAGAUACCCUGGUAGUCCACGCUGUAAACGAUGGAUAUUAGGUGUCGGGGGUUUACUUCGGUGCCGCAGUUAACGCGUUAAAUAUCCCGCC
RNAcentral lists this ribosomal RNA (343 nucleotides) under uncultured bacterium. RNAcentral describes it as "bacterial SSU rRNA". It matches the Rfam family "Bacterial small subunit ribosomal RNA", at positions 527 to 873 of the family's 1533-position model. The record is from RNAcentral.